UACCCCAUAGUAUCGUCAGAAGGCAUCUGAAGACGAUUAAAGCUCCGGCACUUUGAGAUGGGCGUGCGUCUGAUUAGGUAGUUGGUAGGGUAACGGCCUACCAAGCCGACGAUCAGUAGCUGAUGUGAGAGCAUGAUCAGCCACACGGGCACUGAGACACGGGCCCGACUCCUACGGGAGGCAGCAGUGAGGAAUAUUGGUCAAUGGAGGCAACUCUGAACCAGCCAUGCCGCGUGAAGGAUGAAGGUCCUCUGGAUUGUAAACUUCUUUUAUAGAAGAAGAAACCCCAUUUUUCUAAAUGGGUUGACGGUACUCUAUGAAUAAGCACCGGCUAACUCCGUGCCAGCAGCCGCGGUAAUACGGAGGGUGCAAGCGUUAUCCGGAUUCACUGGGUUUAAAGGGAGCGUAGGUGGGCUUGUAAGUCAGUGGUGAAAUCUCCGAGCUUAACUUGGAAACUGCCAUUGAUACUACUGGUCUUGAAUUCUGUGGAGGUAAGCGGAAUAUAUCAUGUAGCGGUGAAAUGCUUAGAUAUGAUAUAGAACACCGAUAGCGAAGGCAGCUUACUACGCAGAUAUUGACACUGAGGCUCGAAAGCGUGGGGAUCAAACAGGAUUAGAUACCCUGGUAGUCCACGCCCUAAACUAUGGAUACUCGACAUCAGCGAUACACAGUUGGUGUCUGAGCGAAAGCAUUAAGUAUCCCACCUGGGGAGUACGUCCGCAA
RNAcentral lists this ribosomal RNA (723 nucleotides) under uncultured Bacteroidota bacterium. RNAcentral describes it as "bacterial SSU rRNA". It matches the Rfam family "Bacterial small subunit ribosomal RNA", at positions 167 to 891 of the family's 1533-position model. The record is from RNAcentral. Lineage: Bacteria; Pseudomonadati; Bacteroidota.